RNAcentral lists this ribosomal RNA (435 nucleotides) under uncultured bacterium. RNAcentral's name for it is "partial 16S ribosomal RNA". It matches the Rfam family "Bacterial small subunit ribosomal RNA", at positions 29 to 507 of the family's 1533-position model. The record is from RNAcentral.
AGCGAACGCUGGCGGCAUGCUUAACACAUGCAAGUCGCACGGAUCUUUCGGGAUCAGUGGCGGACGGGUGAGUAACGCGUAGGGAUCUAUCCAUGGGUGGGGGACAACUCCGGGAAACUGGAGCUAAUACCGCAUGAUACCUGAGGGUCAAAGGCGCAAGUCGCCUGUGGAGGAACCUGCGUUCGAUUAGCUAGUUGGUGGGGUAAAGGCCUACCAAGGCGAUGAUCGAUAGCUGGUUUGAGAGGAUGAUCAGCCACACUGGGACUGAGACACGGCCCAGAAUCCUACGGGAGGCAGCAGUGGGGAAUAUUGGACAAGGGGCGAAAGCCUGAUCCAGCAAUGCCGCGUGUGUGAAGAAGGUCUUCGGAUUGUAAAGCACUUUCGACGGGGACGAUGAUGACGGUACCCGUAGAAGAAGCCCCGGCUAACUUCGUG